This 287-nucleotide unclassified non-coding RNA is filed under the name Xylodon sambuci. Its description in RNAcentral is "partial internal transcribed spacer region". The stretch from base 1 to 46 matches the Rfam family "Eukaryotic small subunit ribosomal RNA", at positions 1786 to 1831 of the family's 1831-position model. The record is from RNAcentral. Lineage: Eukaryota; Fungi; Basidiomycota; Agaricomycetes; Hymenochaetales; Schizoporaceae.
AAGUCGUAACAAGGUUUCCGUAGGUGAACCUGCGGAAGGAUCAUUUGAUGAGUUGAAACAGGACUUGAUGCUGGCUUACUCCAAAGCAUGUGCUCAGUUCUACUCAAUCCAUUUCACACCUGUGCACUUUCAAAGUUGUAGUCCUCCGUAAUGGGAGUCGUGUCUUGUAAUGAGAUGCUGGGACUACUCUUUGCCCAUUAUCACAAACAUCAUUAUAGUCUUGUAGAAUGUCAUUAGCCUAAGGGCUUAACUUAAUACAACUUUCAACAACGGAUCUCUUGGCUCUC